RNAcentral lists this transfer RNA (88 nucleotides) under Alphaproteobacteria bacterium. RNAcentral describes it as "tRNA-Leu". It matches the Rfam family "tRNA". From Rfam's summary of the family: Transfer RNA (tRNA) molecules are approximately 80 nucleotides in length. Their secondary structure includes four short double-helical elements and three loops (D, anti-codon, and T loops). Further hydrogen bonds mediate the characteristic L-shaped molecular structure. tRNAs have two regions of fundamental functional importance: the anti-codon, which is responsible for specific mRNA codon recognition, and the 3' end, to which the tRNAs corresponding amino acid is attached (by aminoacyl-tRNA synthetases). tRNAs cope with the degeneracy of the genetic code in two manners: having more than one tRNA (with a specific anti-codon) for a particular amino acid; and 'wobble' base-pairing, i.e. permitting non-standard base-pairing at the 3rd anti-codon position. The record is from RNAcentral. Lineage: Bacteria; Pseudomonadati; Pseudomonadota; Alphaproteobacteria.
GGCCCCGUGGCGGAAUGGUAGACGCAACGGACUUAAAAUCCGUAGCUCGGAAACGGGCGUGCCGGUUCAAGUCCGGCCGGGGCCACCA